RNAcentral lists this ribosomal RNA (442 nucleotides) under uncultured bacterium. RNAcentral describes it as "partial 16S ribosomal RNA". It matches the Rfam family "Bacterial small subunit ribosomal RNA", at positions 338 to 795 of the family's 1533-position model. The record is from RNAcentral.
CCUACGGGUGGCUGCAGUGGGGGAUAUUGCACAAUGGGGGAAACCCUGAUGCAGCGACGCCGCGUGGGCGAAGACGUAUUUCGGUAUGUAAAGCCCUAUCAGCAGGGAAGAAGAAAUGACGGUACCUGAGUAAGAAGCACCGGCUAAAUACGUGCCAGCAGCCGCGGUCAUACGUAUGGUGCAAGCGUUAUCCGGAUUUACUGGGUGUAAGGGGAGCGUAGGCGGCACGGCAAGCCUGAUGUGGAAGCCCGCGGCCCAACCGCGGUACUGAAAUGGGUACUAGCAGCCUGGAGGACCGGUGAGGUAGGCGGGAUUCGUGGUGUAGCGGUGAAAUGCUUAGAUAUCAGGAAGAACUCCGAUUGCGAAGGCGGACUACUAAACGGCCACUGACAGUGAUGCUCGAGAGUGUGGGGAUCAGACAGGAGGAGAUACCCCAGUAGUC